RNAcentral lists this ribosomal RNA (606 nucleotides) under uncultured fungus. RNAcentral's name for it is "eukaryotic LSU rRNA". The stretch from base 228 to 380 matches the Rfam family "5.8S ribosomal RNA". Lineage: Eukaryota; Fungi. The record is from RNAcentral.
AGUAAAAGUCGUAACAAGGUUUCCGUAGGUGAACCUGCGGAAGGAUCAUUACCGAGUGAGGGCCCUCUGGGUCCAACCUCCCACCCGUGUUUAUUUUACCUUGUUGCUUCGGCGGGCCCGCCUUUACUGGCCGCCGGGGGGCUCACGCCCCCGGGCCCGCGCCCGCCGAAGACACCCUCGAACUCUGUCUGAAGAUUGAAGUCUGAGUGAAAAUAUAAAUUAUUUAAAACUUUCAACAACGGAUCUCUUGGUUCCGGCAUCGAUGAAGAACGCAGCGAAAUGCGAUACGUAAUGUGAAUUGCAAAUUCAGUGAAUCAUCGAGUCUUUGAACGCACAUUGCGCCCCCUGGUAUUCCGGGGGGCAUGCCUGUCCGAGCGUCAUUGCUGCCCUCAAGCCCGGCUUGUGUGUUGGGCCCCGUCCUCCGAUUCCGGGGGACGGGCCCGAAAGGCGGCGGCGGCACCGCGUCCGGUCCUCGAGCGUAUGGGGCUUUGUCACCCGCUCUGUAGGCCCGGCCGGCGCUUGCCGAUCAACCCAAAUUUUUAUCCAGGUUGACCUCGGAUCAGGUAGGGAUACCCGCUGAACUUAAGCAUAUCAAUAAGCGGAGGA